AACGAACGCUGGCGGCAGGCUUAACACAUGCAAGUCGAGCGCCCCGCAAGGGGAGCGGCGCACGGGAGAAUAACACGUGGGAACCUACCUUUUAGUUCGGAACAACACCGGGAAACUGGUGCUAAUACCGGAUACGUCCUUCGGGAGAAAGAUUUAUCGCUAAAAGAUGGGCCUGCGUUGGAUUAGCUAGUUGGUGAGGUAAUGGCUCACCAAGGCGACGAUCCAUAGCUGGUCUAAGAGGAUGAUCAGCCUCACUGGGACUGAGACACGGCCCAGAUUCCUACGGGAGGCAGCAGUGGGGAAUAUUGGACAAUGGGGGCAACCCUGAUCCAGCCAUGCCGCGUGGAUGUUAAGGCCUUCGGGUUGUAAAGUCCUUUUGGCGGGGACGAUGAUGACGGUACCCGCAGAAUAAGAUCCGGCAAACUUCGUGCCAGCCGCCGCUGUAA
Molecule: ribosomal RNA, 446 nt
Filed under: uncultured bacterium
Lineage: Bacteria
Description: partial 16S ribosomal RNA
Rfam family: Bacterial small subunit ribosomal RNA
Source: RNAcentral